RNAcentral lists this long non-coding RNA (3374 nucleotides) under Callithrix jacchus (white-tufted-ear marmoset). Its description in RNAcentral is "lncRNA (ENSCJAG00000076765.1)". Lineage: Eukaryota; Metazoa; Chordata; Mammalia; Primates; Cebidae. The record is from RNAcentral.
UUUCCUUUCAUGUCUUAGUUUUGCCACCUUAGGUAAAAACACUGACUUCUAUUUUCUCUAUUUCUCCUUUUUUUCUUGGUCUCACCGUAGGAACCCCCCCCCUUCUCUCUUCCAGUUUGUACUAGUUGUGAAAACUGCAGAAUUUUGAGCAAGUAAACAAAUAUAUGAGUAAGAACUUUUUACUUAUAUUUUACUAAAUUUAAUUGAAGUAUAACAGACACAGGGAAAAAUGCGCAGAUUACAAGUUUCGGCUCAAGUAAUGUCACGUGGUGAGUGAACCACCAUGUGCCCAGCUCCAGCUCAAGAGACAAGAAGCACUGGCCGCUGAGAAGCUGCUCUGAGCUGUUCCGGUAGUUGCCCCUGCCCAAGCCGGCCUGUGAUGGUUAAUACUGAGCGUCAACGUGAUUGGACUGAAGGAUGCAAAGCAUUGAUCCUGGGAGUGUCUCUGAGGGUGUUACCAAGGAGAUUCACGUUUCAGUCAGUGGCUGGGAAAGGCAGCCCCACCUCGAUCUGGUGAGCACCAUCUAAUCAGCUGCCUGUGAAUAUACAGACAUACGUGAAAAGGUGAGACUGACCCAGCCUCCCAGCUGGACACUUCCUGCCCUCACAAGUCAGCCUCCACGUUCUUCAGUUUGGAGACUCGAGCUGGCUCUCCUUGCUCCUCAAGCUUGCAGACAGCCUAUUGUGGGACCUUGUGAUUAUGCCUUUUAUUACCAUUUUUUCCCUUAUUUCACUGAAUAGAAUCUCUAGGACGUCAAGCAGGAGCGGUGAGGAGAGGUCGCCAGCACCGUGUACAGGAGAGGUCGCCAGCACCGUGUACAGGAGAGGUCGCCAGCACCGUGUACUGGAGAGGUCGCCAGCACCGUGUACAGGAGAGGUCGCCAGCACCGUGUACAGGAGAGGUCGCCAGCACCGUGUACAGGAGAGGUCGCCAGCACCGUGUACUGGAACAUGCACCGUGUGCUGGGGGCUUUAUAGCCAUUGUUGUGUCUCUCUAGAGCCCUGCAAGCAGGUAUUAUCUCUCUAUGAAAAUGAGGAAGCAGAUCCCGCAAAAGGAAGUAUGUUGCAGAGCUGCAGCUGCUGAAAAAAAGGCCGUGUGAGAAUGUAAGCUCAGGUCUGUCUGCCUCCGAAAUUGUUCCUUUUAUAGAGAGAGGAAUGUUCAGGGCAUCCAAGAAACUCGUGUGUGUGUGAGUGUGAGUGUGUGUGUGAGUGUGUGUGUAUGUGUGUGUAUUUGUGUGAAUCUGAGUGUGUGUAUGUGUGUGUGAGUGUGGGUGUGAAUCUGUGUGUGUGAGGAUGUAUGUGUGUUUGUGUGAGAAUGUGUGUGUGAAUCUGUGUGUGUGAAUCUGUGUGUGAGAAUGUAUGUGUGUGUAAAUCUGUGUGUGAGUGUGUGAAUCUGUGUGUGAGAAUGUACGUGUGUGUUUGUGUGUGUGUGAAUCUGUGUGUGUGAGAAUGUGUGUGUUUGUGUGUGAGAGAAUGUAUGUUUGUGUGUGUGAGAAUGUAUCUGUGUUUGUGAGUGUGUGUGUGAGAAUGUAUGUUUGUGUGUGAGAAAAUGUAUGUGUUUGUGAGAAUGUGUGUGAGAAUGUAUGUGUGUUUGUGUGUGAGAGAGAAUGUAUGUGUGUGUGUGAGAAUGAAUGUGGUUUGUGUGUGUGAGAGAAUGUAUGUUUGUGUGUGUGAGAAUGUAUGUGUGUGUUUGUGUGUGUGAAUGUAUGUUUGUGUGUAUGAGAAUGUGUGUGAGAAUGUGUGUGAGUGUGUGUGUGAAUGUAUGUGUGUUUGCGUGUGUGAGAGAAUGUGUGUGAGAAUGUAUGUGUGUGUGAGAAUGUGUGUUUGUGUGUGUGUGAGAAUGUAUGUGUUUGUGUGUGUGAGAGAAUGUAUGUUUGUGUGUGUGAGAAUGUAUGUGUGUGUGUUUGUGUGUGUGAAUGUAUGUGUUUGUGUAUGAGAAUGUGUGUGAGAAUGUAUGUGUGUGAGUGUGUGUGUGAAUGUAUGUGUGUUUGCGUGUGUGAGAGAAUGUGUGUGAGAAUGUAUGUGUGUGUGAGAAUGUGUGUUUGUGUGUGUGUGAGAGAAUGUAUGUGUGUGUGUGUGUGUGUGUGAGACUGUGUGUGUGUUUGUGUGUAUGUGUGUGCAUUUCUCUAGGCAGAGGACCUGUAGCUUUCAUUAGAUUCUCAGAGAGGUCUAUGACUCCAACAAUGUUACGGAACAUGGAUUUAUGUAGACAUCUUAAGGAACCCUUCCAAGUAUUUUGUAAGGUGGAAAGCUAAAGCCCUCAGGAUCUGGUGCACCCUUCUUUACACAUCAAAACCUAAGUGAAUAUUUGCAGGGGGCAGGUGACAGGGCACAACUUUUCCUAUUAAUAGGAUUCUUCCUUUUCAAUGACACGAAUACACAUCAAACACCUGUACUCUCACCUUAGAUGAGCUCCUAAACAGAGCAUAACUUUUUCUUCCCUGUAUGCCCCAAAGCAUGUGGCAGAAAGAGAAAAUGGUCACCCCCAGGGCUAAGUGGCAUGAAGCAGGCAGUGAGCUCCUGAGGAUGGAGGUCAGUGAUUGGAGUGGACGGAUCAGCACGAGCUCAGGAAGGAGCUUGGGGAGCAAUGCAGGUAGCAUCUGCUCACGUGAGAAGGUGAAACAGCUUUGAGAAUGGCUGAAUUUUCCACAUACUCACUUCACACAGAGCUUCUGGUAACUCAAUUAUUUGUAACCAGAGGAGCCCACUCCGGUGGUGAGACCCACUGGGCCCUGCACACCCACCGUCAUCACCAUAUGUGCCAACCCCUUGUGGUGGACACAGCACUGUGCCAACUGCUUCCUGCUCAUUUUUCCCUAAGUUCUUCUCUUGAUCACCUAAUAAAGAAUAUUUUACAGACGAAGAGCUGAAUCUUAGAGAGGUUAAGUCACUUGCUCCAGGUCACCCAGAGAGUAAGCGGUGGCUCUAGGAUGGGAACUAGGCUGCCUUCGACCUGCUGAUUAACAAUUUGAAGGCCCUGGGCCCCAGGAGGGUCAGCGUCCACCCCAGUCUCCCUGGAGUUCGGUUCUAAUUUUUGUUUUCCCAUCUGCUGGCUCCAGCAGCUUGGACCAGAUGGUGACGUCACCUCCCACGCAGGUUCAUUUUCUUCUCGGGAAGGGGUGCUAAGAAGCCAGUUUUCACAAAUCACAGAAGCAAAGCAGAGGGGACACCUGGCGCUCUGGGGGAUGGGGUUGGAGGUUCCCAGAAAGGUGCGGCGGGGAGAGCGCCACGGACUGGCAGUGUGCCCUUGGCAAAACACAGCAUUCCAAAAAAGGAAAACAGAACAGAUCAGUUUAGAGGCCUCUAGAAUCAUGGGGCUAAUUGGGAUUGUGACAGGAUUAGGAGUAGGAACCCAAGCUCACAAAGCUUUCAUC